UCUUCCUCUCCCUCUUCCGCCUCGCGCCGCCGCCGCCGUCUCGCGCCGCCACCUCUGCCUCCCUCUCGCGUCGUCAUCCUCUCCUCCUUCCCGACUCACCUUCUCCCUCUCCUUCUUCCGGCGCCGCCACCUCCGCCUCGUGCCGACCCCAUCUCGGAGCACGGCCGCCACAACCGCCGCGUGCCCGUCGCCGCCUCCGCCUCCGCCUCGUGACUUGAACAAUGUUGCAUGCAAGUUGAAGCUAAAAAGAUUACAAGCAAGCUGAGAAGCUUUGCACUAAGAUUUUGAGAUAUUAACAUUCCUAUGCAACCCAUUCUUGUGACAAGAGCUGGGCCAUUCUAGCCAAUAAUGGUCUUCCUUUGCAUAAGAUUUAAAGCUGGAUAUCCAGUUUUUCAGAAGCUUUAUAUGUUGGAUGGAUAAAACAGAAUAUACAUAUUCAAUUGUUGAGAAAACAUCAUUGGUCCUUAAUGCCUCAUUGCAAGGUGAAGUCCUUGUACUCCAUGAGUCCAUGUUCCUCCAUGCCAACUCAAAUGGUCCUUGUACUAAUAAAUCUUAUUAUUCCAUAUAGACAAACGGUACCUCCCUAGAUGCCAACUCAAAUGGUCCCUCAAAUUUUACACUUGAUGAGGAAAUGGAAUUCUAAGAAUUUGUACAGAGGUCAAAUGCGUAUGCCAAGAUUUGCUCAAUGAUUGGCCCUUGAAUUUAUGGUCAUUCUGAUGUCAAGAAAGCUAUCACAUGCUUGCUGUUUGGUGGCUCAAAGAAGGUGUAUAUAUGAUCUUAUCUGUGUGUAUUGCUGUCCCGGUCUCCCUCGAUCGCGGGGAAGGAGGAGCAGAUCCAUUCGAGAAGGUGAUGGUAUUGGUGAAGAAGAUGAUGGCUGCCGUUGGCAGCCCUCACUCUAGGGCGGCGGAGGACAUGCUGAUGCAGGCCAGCAGCCAGUGUGGUGAGGAGGAGCUGGAAAGGAGCAACAUGACGCUGCUGAGGUGUUGGUCUCGACCUAAAAAAUUGGCAUGCUGACUUCGUCAAGGUUGAAUAGCCACCCUCUUCGACUCAUCUUGCGGCAUUAGAUGCAAGUAGCCAAUGGCGUGGUGGAAAGAAGAGGAUCUGAGGAUGGUGGCGAAUCUGGAGCCAAGGUCGAUGGGGCGGGCGGCCGAUCUAGGAGGCACACCACCCGGAGGCAAGUGACCUCCAAGUUCCUGACUUCCUGUGAGCCAUGGCUCGGAAUCUAGGCCUAUCGUAGGCUAAGAAGAUAACCAGUGUUCUCACGGGCAAUGGUGGGUCACCGUAUAUCACGUAGCCAUGCUGGGGUCAAUCUAAGAGCCGCUGAACGAGAUGGUCGGAGGCUGCGAGGUGUGCUACCAGUCUACCACUACCAGAAGAACAUCACCGUGGAGGACUACGCCAGGUCCGUCGUCUCUAACAAGCCAGAGGGGAAUUUUUUUUUGGCACUACAAAGAUUAAUAUAAUUGACAUACCACAUGGCUGAAUCUUUUGGCGCAUCACGGUGUCUGGCUUGAGUGGAACAGAAAACAGUAGCUGAGCUGAAGAAUAUCGAUCCAUGGGAAACUGAGGUAAUGUUGCAACAAAAUUCAUUGAACAACACAAUGCUUUUGACUUGUACAUGUCACUUUUUUUUCUCUUUUUUUUUUUCAAAAUUUGCUUUGUAGUCUGCCAGCUCAGCUGUUGCAAAAUAAAGCCCAUCUCAGCCGUGUUAGUUUUUAUCAUGCUCUCACUAUCAUAGGACAGCAAGUCCAUAUUGAUCUAGCUAUUCUGGUGGUUGCUCCUCAGUGACUGCGAUACCAAAGUAAUGUUCCUACUUACAUUUCCUGAUUUAUUUUAUUUUGCAUUGAUGCAAUUGUUUCCUAACUCUGUUUAUGUAUCAGGUACAAGUACAUAUUUGUAUUAUAUCACGUUUUUUCCAUAGUAUGUGUAUUUCGAACUAUAGUUAUAGUUUCAGUUUGUAUUACUUUUAACUAUAGUUUGACACUCAAAAUCUAUUAAUUGUGGUCAGUUCCAGUACAUAUUAGUAUUAAAUUCACACCCCAAUCAAUUUCUAUUACAAUUUAGUUGUCAUGUUAAUAGUGCCUAUUAUCUCAGUUAUUUAUUUGGCACUACAGCAGCCACAUAGAAAUUGUGAGCAAUAUUUAUAGCACAUUAGCUCUUGUGUUCAGUAGGAAGAAGCUGUUGUUCCUAAUGGAGGAAAGAAAGAAAAAUAUAGUGUUAUUACACUUUACUCUUUGAACGUACUUGGUUGAGCACUCCUAUUUUAGAUUGACUAUAGUUAAAUGGUUAUGUUAUUUGCUUUAUUCAGCAGCCAUGCAACUUCAGGUUACACUCAGAGGUCCAAGGCUGUAAUCAAGAAAGAAAAGCAGCAUGGUCACUAUUCUACUGUAAAUAUGAUCCAGCAUAAGUGCACUUCGUAUGUACAUACUAUCUAGAAGCUUGAUAUACUAUCUACCAAAGAAAACCUAGGCUUCCUAUUUCAGCUUGUUUAGUUCGGUUAGCACUGGGGUGAAUGAACAUGGAAAUGCCAUACAAUGUCUCCUAUUUCAGCUUGUUUAGUUCGGUUAGCACUGGGGUGAAUGAACAUAGAAAUGUCAUGCAAUGUCUCUGCGUAUGUAAUCCAGAGCGCUGUGUGUGCUUACCUCUGACGAUAAUUUUCGUGUUUGCCUGCAUUCUUUCGACUAUUCUAAUUAUCACCUGUUCUUUUUAA
Non-coding RNA from Oryza sativa Japonica Group (Japanese rice), 2710 nucleotides. The record is from RefSeq and is a predicted model, not a curated record. Lineage: Eukaryota; Viridiplantae; Streptophyta; Magnoliopsida; Poales; Poaceae.